RNAcentral lists this ribosomal RNA (253 nucleotides) under Blautia luti. RNAcentral describes it as "partial 16S ribosomal RNA". It matches the Rfam family "Bacterial small subunit ribosomal RNA", at positions 524 to 776 of the family's 1533-position model. Lineage: Bacteria; Bacillati; Bacillota; Clostridia; Lachnospirales; Lachnospiraceae. The record is from RNAcentral.
UACGUAGGGGGCAAGCGUUAUCCGGAUUUACUGGGUGUAAAGGGAGCGCAGACGGCCGUGCAAGUCUGAUGUGAAAGGCUGGGGCUCAACCCCGGGACUGCAUUGGAAACUGUAUGGCUGGAGUGCCGGAGAGGUAAGCGGAAUUCCUAGUGUAGCGGUGAAAUGCGUAGAUAUUAGGAGGAACACCAGUGGCGAAGGCGGCUUACUGGACGGUAACUGACGUUGAGGCUCGAAAGCGUGGGGAGCAAACAGG